This 25-nucleotide unclassified non-coding RNA is filed under the name Mus musculus (house mouse). Its description in RNAcentral is "oocyte_clustered_small_RNA10374". The record is from RNAcentral. Lineage: Eukaryota; Metazoa; Chordata; Mammalia; Rodentia; Muridae.
UGAGACCCCCGGGGAUUCAUGAGCU